AUUGAACGCUGGCGGCAGGCUUAACACAUGCAAGUCGAGCGGGGUGAUGGUGCUUGCACUAUCACUUAGCGGCGGACGGGUGAGUAAUGCUUAGGAAUCUGCCUAUUAGUGGGGGACAACAUCUCGAAAGGGAUGCUAAUACCGCAUACGUCCUACGGGAGAAAGCAGGGGAUCACUUGUGACCUUGCGCUAAUAGAUGAGCCUAAGUCGGAUUAGCUAGUUGGUGGGGUAAAGGCCUACCAAGGCGACGAUCUGUAGCGGGUCUGAGAGGAUGAGCAGCCACACUGGGACUGAGACACGGCCCAGACUCCUACGGGAGGUAGCAGUGGGGAAUAUUGGACAAUGGGGGGAACCCUGAUCCAGCCAUGCCGCGUGUGUGAAGAAGGCCUUAUGGUUGUAAAGCACUUUAAGCGAGGAGGAGGCUCUUUUGGUUAAUACCCAAGAUGAGUGGACGUUACUCGCAGAAUAAGCACCGGCUAACUCUGUGCCAGCCGCCGCAGUAA
RNAcentral lists this ribosomal RNA (503 nucleotides) under uncultured bacterium. RNAcentral's name for it is "partial 16S ribosomal RNA". It matches the Rfam family "Bacterial small subunit ribosomal RNA", at positions 30 to 523 of the family's 1533-position model. The record is from RNAcentral.